GAUGAACGCUGGCGGCGUGCCUAAUACAUGCAAGUCGAGCGAACAGACGAGGAGCUUGCUCCUCUGACGUUAGCGGCGGACGGGUGAGUAACACGUGGAUAACCUACCUAUAAGACUGGGAUAACUUCGGGAAACCGGAGCUAAUACCGGAUAAUAUAUUGAACCGCAUGGUUCAAUAGUGAAAGACGGUUUUGCUGUCACUUAUAGAUGGAUCCGCGCCGCAUUAGCUAGUUGGUAAGGUAACGGCUUACCAAGGCAACGAUGCGUAGCCGCCCUGAGAGGGUGAUCGGCCACACUGGAACUGAGACACGGUCCAGACUCCUACGGGAGGCAGCAGUAGGGAAUCUUCCGCAAUGGGCGAAAGCCUGACGGAGCAACGCCGCGUGAGUGAUGAAGGUCUUCGGAUCGUAAAACUCUGUUAUUAGGGAAGAACAAAUGUGUAAGUAACUAUGCACGUCUUGACGGUACCUAAUCAGAAAGCCACGGCUAACUACGUG
RNAcentral lists this ribosomal RNA (497 nucleotides) under uncultured bacterium. RNAcentral describes it as "partial 16S ribosomal RNA". It matches the Rfam family "Bacterial small subunit ribosomal RNA", at positions 28 to 507 of the family's 1533-position model. The record is from RNAcentral.